ACAAGCGGUGGAGUAUGUGGUUUAAUUCGAUGCAACGCCGAAGAACCUUACCUGGUCUUGACAUCCCGGAGACCCUUAGGAAACUAGGGGGUGCCUUCCAUCUGGAAGAAUCUGGAGACAGGUGCUGCAUGGCUGUCGUCAGCUCGUGUCGUGAGAUGUUGGGUUAAGUCCCGCAACGAGCGCAACCCUUGCCUUUAGUUGCCAGCAGUUCGGCUGGGCACUCUAAAGGGACUGCCGGUGUUAAACCGGAGGAAGGUGGGGAUGACGUCAAGUCCUCAUGGCCUUUAUGACCAGGGCUACACACGUACUACAAUGGCCGAUACAAAGGGCAGCGACACUGCGAGGUGAAGCCAAUCCCGUAAAAUCGGCUCAGUCCGGAUUGGAGUCUGCAACUCGACUCCAUGAAGUUGGAAUCGCCAGUAAUCGCGCAUCAGCCAUGGCGCGGUGAAUACGUUCCCGGGCCUU
This 465-nucleotide ribosomal RNA is filed under the name uncultured Desulfobulbus sp. RNAcentral's name for it is "bacterial SSU rRNA". It matches the Rfam family "Bacterial small subunit ribosomal RNA", at positions 925 to 1382 of the family's 1533-position model. Lineage: Bacteria; Pseudomonadati; Thermodesulfobacteriota; Desulfobulbia; Desulfobulbales; Desulfobulbaceae. The record is from RNAcentral.